CGAUCUUCAGCCAACCUCACAUAAGCGGCAUUCUUUUCAACCGACAGAAUUAUAAUGCAUCACUCUCCAUAUUCUCAACCCUAUCAUUAAUCCGAGGAACACAUACUCCUAAAGUUCCAUUUGCAAAAUUAACCGUAUUACCAUCUGCGGUAUAAGUUAAGCUGCCAACAAUCAACCCAUUCAAUUGAGGGGAAGGGACGAUGGAGAGGCCAACGUCGGCGAGGGUUAGGGUUUCGGAAGUGGAGGCGGCAACGGAGGCCUUGAGGGUUUCAAGGAUGACGGAGUCAGGUUCGAGUUUGGAUUCCAUCAAGUCGAAAAUGGAAUCGCCGUUGUUUGCUCGCCGGACCGACGUUUGACGAGUGGAUUUGAAGAAAAUGAUACAACUGGUUGCAGGUUAAGGAGUAAAAAGAGGGCAAAGGAGAGGAGACAUUCAUAACACCACUGUGAGUGGCGAAAAUUUGAUUUUUUUUUUUGUUCGAAAAAACAACCAACAGAAACAAAGUUUGAAACACUAAAAAGACGAAAAUGCACAAAAAAAAAAAGGUUUCAAACUAUAAAUAUCGAGAUACAACAACUCUAUUUUCUUCAGGUCAAACAAAUUUUUGUAGCAUGGAGAUCAAAAGUAAAAUAAUGAGAUGAAUGGGUAGUGUAUUAUAUCAGCAAUAGUAAUAUAGUCAAUAAUUCUUUUUUUUUUCGUGAUUGUUUAUAUACAUUGACGGAGCCAGGAUUUGUAUUAAGUGAGUCAAAAUAUAAAAAAAUAAACUCGUCAAGAAAUUAAGGGUAUCAUUAUAUAGUAUAUAUACAUAUUUUAAAAAAAAUUACCAAGUUAAACAAUACCUUUUGAAUUAUUAAUUAUUGUGACUACAAUAUUUUUUAUGUAAUUUUUAAAUAUGUAAAUUUUAUUUAAAAAAUUUAAAGAUUCGUCAAAAUCAUAAUCAAAAUUUAACUAUCGAAAUCCGAACAAUGCCAAAUAAAUUGGGACCCAGGAAGUUAUAUUACAGUAUGGUCAAUGUUAUCAUGUGAAAAAAAAAACCUAAAAUUUAAAUCCGACUGUCAAAAGAUCUAGCUCUUCAGCAAUUUACUGUAAUGGAGUUGGAUUUAAAAUUCAACCAGUGUUUAAUUACAUUAGGAGAUAGUACGAGGUUUUUGAUUUCAUUCUAUUCUAAGCACGCAAAGUAUUUGCAUUCAUACACACAUAGGAAUUAUCCGAGAAGAUGAAUAUUUUGUUUUUUCUCCCCCUUUAAUUUUUGCUUUAGUCGUGUUGGGCUUUAAAGUGCUUACUGCAAUUGUAACGGUGGUUAAAGAAAUAAAAAAAGAACUUCUCUUUGGCUGCAGUACUAUAACUUCACUUCCAAGUUCAUUCAAAGGCACCAGUGAAUUUUCGGUAAGCAGUAUCAAUAUUUGAAAAAACGAUCGAAUAAAUAAAUCACUAUAAUAACAAGUGACGUCAUUUUUUAUAUUUAUACCUAAUAUUUUUAUUUUGUAUUACUAUCUAUAUAUACAUAUUUAAUAAAAAUUUUGACGAAACGGUG
Molecule: long non-coding RNA, 1532 nt
Filed under: Nicotiana tabacum (common tobacco)
Lineage: Eukaryota; Viridiplantae; Streptophyta; Magnoliopsida; Solanales; Solanaceae
Description: long non-coding RNA (NTAB_LNC004676)
Source: RNAcentral